Molecule: RNA transcript, 3617 nt
Organism: Panicum virgatum (switchgrass)
Lineage: Eukaryota; Viridiplantae; Streptophyta; Magnoliopsida; Poales; Poaceae
Exons: 9
Source: RefSeq, a predicted model, not a curated record
GGCUAGCGAGCAGCGCCGGCGCCGGCGGCGAUGACGAAUGAGACGGUGUACUACGAUGUGCUCACGUCUGUCCCGCCGCAUCUGACGACGAGAUCUGCAAGGCCUACUACAUCAAGGCGAGGCAGGUGCAUCCAGAAUUCCAGACAAGAAUCCCAACAACCCGCAGGCGGCCGAGAAGUUCCAAGUCCUCACUGCAGCUUGAUUCUGUCCAUGUUCUUGCUGGACAACGACUUGAUUUAGCGGAGUGAAUGUGUGGUGUGCUGACAAGCUGAUGGUUCCCUUCUCGAUGAUGGUUCCCCUCUCGAAGUCUCGAUGAUGGUUCCCAGGCUCUUGGAGAGGCCUACCAGGUUCUGAGUGACCCUCUGCAGAGGAAGGCCUACGACGGCUACGGAAAGAACAGCAUAUCCAGGGACAACAUACUGGAUUGCACUGUUGUUUUCACCCUCCUUUUCAGGAGCGAGCUGUUCGAGGACUACAUUGGUCAUCUUGCAUUAUGGGUGCUUUACGAAAACAAUGUCAAUAAAGAGGAUCUGAAGGCCCGAGCAGCGGCCUUGAAAAAUUUCAGAGGGACAAGGAGGCAUUAUCUGGGCCAGGGCCAGGGCCGUCAGGGCCAUCAAAACGAACAGUUCUUGAUGAUGACAGCAGUUCAGAUGACAGUUCAGAUGAUGACAUAGCUCGGACGGUGCCAUAUCGAACUCCUGCAUUUACUCAGACCAUUGUUCAAUCACCACGCAUAUUUGUUUCAUAUCAAUGAUUUAUGAAUUGAAACCUUCAGUAAGAAACCAGUACAUUUGCGGUGCAGGGAAUCUGAAGGCUGUUCAGAUGCUUAUGCAACCCCGCUUAUGAUGUUGACGAUGAUUUUGAGCCCCCCAAAUGAGUUCUAGAACCAAACACCAAUAGAUGUGUUCAAAUGUUCGUGACUUUUUUUUUUCCAACUAUAUGAUUCAGAGCCAUGUGAGUUCAGAUCAUACGUCGCCAUCCUUUAUCUUAAGGAUACGCACGCUGAUGCUACUUCAGCUCUGUGAAUGAUGGCUUAACUUCUCCCUUCAAACAUGGAUGAAGAUAGAAGUCAUGCACAGAGCGAAAUGCUGAAAUGUUCACCAAGUGCCAAAGUGACCAAUCAGAGAUAGGCUGAACAAGUUACAUGAUUUUGGAUGCAAAACGAUGCAGAUCAGAUCAGGUAGCCCAAUGCGCUGACGCCCUCAACAAAGCAGUCUGCAGCCUGCAUUGCACAGAACCACCAGUCUGGUAUCAACUUGAAGUCCUGCUGCUGCACCGUAAAUGCGGGAGAGAGAUGCCUGCUGGGAGUACUGUGACAAGCUGGAUGGGAACAAAGUCCGGUGCAGGUUCUGCCACGAGGUCCUCAAUGGUGGCAUCAGCCGGCUCAAGUUCCAUCUGUCUCAAAUUCCCAGCAAAGGGGUUAACCCUUGCACCAAGGUGAAGGAAGACGUCAUUGACAAGGUGAAGGCUAUCAUAUUGGCAAAGGAAGAGUACAAGGAGUUCCAGCUUCUCAAGAGGCAGCGGGUUGCGGAAUUGUCGGUACCCCCGAAACGAACACAGGAGGUUCUGUCUCAGUCUACUUCUCCAGGGCCGGCGAACUCUCCAGCUGCUGCUCUUGCUGCUGAACAGAGUCACCUUCUUGCUCUGGAAGUGUCGACUCCGGUGCCAAAACUAUCUGGUGCUGCUAACAAGUCACGCGCUGCUUCAGAAUUGGAGGCCGAACGAUGCAUAGCUAAAUUCUUUUUCGAGAAUAAGUUGGACUAUAGUAUAGCAGACUCAGUUUCUUACCAGCAUAUGCUGGAGGUACUUGGUGGUGUGGGGUUCCGAGGGCCGUCAGCAGAGGUUCUGAAGGACAAGUGGUUGCACAAGCUCAAGUCAGAGAUUUUGCAGAAAACAAAAGAGAUUGAAAAGGAUUGGGUGAGUACUAUAUUGGCUGAUUCAUGGACUGAUAACAAAUUGAAAGCCCUAAUCAACUUUUCUGUGUCGUCUCCUCUAGGGACUUUCUUCCUCAAAACAGUGGAUGCCUCUCCACACUUCAAAACUCACAGAGGGUUGUAUGAUCUCUUCGACGAGGUGAUUCGAGAAGUUGGCCCAGAGGAUGUUGUUCAGAUAAUCGCUGACAGGAAUAUAAACUAUGGCAGCAUAGACAAGCUAAUCACGCAGAACUACAACAGCAUCUUUUGGUCCCCUUGUGCAUCUUUUUGCAUUAACUCAAUGUUGGAUGACUUCUCCAAGAUUGAUUGGGUGAACCAAUGCAUUUGCCAAGCACAAACCAUAACACGAUUUAUCUACAACAAUAAGUGGGUUCUUGAUUUUAUGAGAAAGUCCAUGGCAGGGCAAGAGCUUGUUUGUUCAGGGAUUACAAAGUCUGUAUCGGAUUUUCUCACAUUGAAAUCCUUGUUGAGGCACAGGUCAAAGCUGAAGCAAAUGUUUCAUUGCGCUGAAUAUUCAUCUUCUUCAUAUGCGGUAGGUCCAUUGUUGAGAUACUCAAUGAUGAUGAGCUUUGGAGAGCAGUUGAAGAGAUAGCUGCUGUUUCUGAACCUUUGUUGAGGGUUAUGAGGGAUGUUUCAGGAGGCAAAGCUGCCAUUGGUUACGUAUAUGAGUCUAUGACAAAAGUGACGGACUCUAUAAGAACAUACUACAUAAUGGAUGAAGGCAAAUGUAAGUCGUUUCUGGACAUAGUGGAGCAAAAAUGGCAAGCAGAGCUGCAUUCACCUCUUCAUUCAGCAGCCGCCUAUCUGAACCCAAGCAUCCAGUAUAACCCAGAAGUAAAAUUUUUCACUAGUAUAAAGGAGGAGUUCUACCAUGUUCUUGAUAAGGUGCUUACAACCCCUGACCUAAGGCAGGAUAUUACUUCUCAAUUGCAUGCUUUCCGCAAGGCACAAGGGAUGUUCGGUUCUAACAUUGCUAAAGAGGCCCGUAACAAUACCUCCCCAGGGAUGUGGUGGGAACAAUACGGCGAUUCAGCACCAUCACUGCAACGAGCCGCUGUCAGAAUUACCAGCCAGGUUUGCAGCACCUUGACGUUCCAAAGGGACUGGGAUAUAAUCCUUCAGAACCACUCUGAAAAGUGCAACAAGCUGGACAAGGAGGCUUUGGCCGACCAAGCCUAUGUGCACUACAAUCUCACGCUCCAUUCCGAACCGAAGACGAGGAAGAAGUUGGAUGGGGAUCCUAUCGCAUUGGAUGGCAUUGACAUGACAUCGCCAUGGGUGGAGGACUCUGACGGCCCAAUCCUCACCCAGUGGCUCGAUAGGUUCCCAUCGGCCUUGGAUGGUGGAGACUUGAACACUAGGCAGUUUGGUGGAUCCAUCUUUGGCCCCGGCGAUAAUCUGUUCGGCUUGUAAUAGUUCUUAGUUCCAGGUCUAACACAACGUGACUUUUGUUUCUGUUGUACAAGUGCUCAUGUAUGUACCAUGUAGGUCUUCUGUAGUUCAAUCUCUGCUAGGACAGAGGCAUAGAGCCUAGAACUUAGACUGAUGUCAAGGUAAGAAUUGUAUGUUACCCUUAUUCAGUCAAGGAGAGAAGUGCCUGUUACUCGUACUUAGUCCCUAUUAACAUGAGAACAUAGGGUAUGGAGACUGAAUCCGAAAAUUUAUUAAUCCAUUUCUUGUGCA